This 358-nucleotide ribosomal RNA is filed under the name uncultured marine bacterium. RNAcentral's name for it is "bacterial SSU rRNA". It matches the Rfam family "Bacterial small subunit ribosomal RNA", at positions 419 to 788 of the family's 1533-position model. The record is from RNAcentral.
AGGGUCGUAAAGCUCUUUCGCCUGUGAAGAUAAUGACUGUAGCAGGUAAAGAAACCCCGGCUAACUCCGUGCCAGCAGCCGCGGUAAUACGGAGGGGUGUUAGCGCUUGUUCGGAAUUACUGGGCGCUAAAGCGCGCGUUAGGCGGACUGGAAAGUUGGGGUGUGAAAUCCCAGGGCUCAACCCUGGAACUGCCUCCAAAACUAUCAGCUCUAGAGUUCGAGAGAGGUGAGUGGAAUUCCGAGUGUAGAGGUGAAAUUCGUAGAUAUUCGGAGGAACACCAGUGGUCGAAAGCGGCUCACUGGCUCGAUACUGACGCUGAGGUCGAAAGUGUGGGGAGCAAACAGGAUUAGAAACCCU